GACAGAGGUGCCGAGCGUUAGGCGGAAUCACUGGGCGUAAAGCGUGCGUAGGCGGUUUCUUAAGUCUGUCGUGAAAGCCCUGGGCUCAACCUGGGAAUGGCGAUGGAUACUGGGAGGCUAGAGUGUGAUAGAGGAUGGUGGAAUUCCCGGUGUAGCGGUGAAAUGCGUAGAGAUCGGGAGGAACACCAGUGGCGAAGGCGGCCAUCUGGAUCAACACUGACGCUGAGGCACGAAAGCGUGGGGAGCAAACAGG
RNAcentral lists this ribosomal RNA (253 nucleotides) under uncultured bacterium. RNAcentral's name for it is "partial 16S ribosomal RNA". It matches the Rfam family "Bacterial small subunit ribosomal RNA", at positions 524 to 776 of the family's 1533-position model. The record is from RNAcentral.